Clarias gariepinus (North African catfish) is the source of this 310-nucleotide long non-coding RNA. RefSeq lists it as uncharacterized. Lineage: Eukaryota; Metazoa; Chordata; Actinopteri; Siluriformes; Clariidae. The transcript has 3 exons. The record is from RefSeq and is a predicted model, not a curated record.
AGACAAUUUUUUUUAAUUCCAAGUCACAUCUGCCUCCGAGUGGCGCAGUGGUAAAGUGCUCACCCUAUCAUCCAGAGAGCGAGAGUUUGAUUCCCAGACCUACCUCCAAAACCAAAAAGGCCUUGGCUUCAUCUUUGAUUAAGGCUUUUCCGUGCUUGAAAGACACAUCAGACAGUGGAUGCGAUAUAUGGUACACCCAAGGCCGGAAUCACCAUCCAGCCACUGGAUUUCUUGAAGAGAGGCUCAGGAACAUUCGAAAGAAGCGGAGAUCUGUGAGCAGGCCGCAAAGACAAGAAGAUAAAGAGCCUGA